ACUCCUACGGGAGGCAGCAGUGGGGAAUCUUAGACAAUGGGGGCAACCCUGAUCUAGCCAUGCCGCGUGAGUGAUGAAGGCCUUAGGUUGUAAAGCUCUUUCAGCUGGGAAGAUAAUGACGGUACCAGCAGAAGAAGCCCCGGCUAACUCCGUGCCAGCAGCCGCGGUAAUACGGAGGGGGCUAGCGUUGUUCGGAAUUACUGGGCGUAAAGCGCACGUAGGCGGACCAGAAAGUUGGGGGUGAAAUCCCGGGGCUCAACCCCGGAACUGCCUUCAAAACUAUUGGUCUGGAGUUCGAGAGAGGUGAGUGGAAUACCGAGUGUAGAGGUGAAAUUCGUAGAUAUUCGGUGGAACACCAGUGGCGAAGGCGGCUCACUGGCUCGAUACUGACGCUGAGGUGCGAAAGGCGUGGGGAGCAAACAGGAUUAGAUACCCUGGUAGGAUACCG
Molecule: ribosomal RNA, 448 nt
Filed under: uncultured bacterium
Lineage: Bacteria
Description: bacterial SSU rRNA
Rfam family: Bacterial small subunit ribosomal RNA
Source: RNAcentral